UGAGGGGAAGGAGACAUUUUUAUUCUCCCCAUAGCAAGCUAUUUGUAUGUGUAGCAAAAAAAAAGGAAAAAUAAAAUCUACUGUAUUUUUUAAAAAUAUUUUAGGAAUAUGUGGUGAAUGUUUAAGAAUAUUUUCUUUAUCUGUCUGUCCAGCAAUGAGGUUUCCUGCACACUUAACUGAAAUUAUCAGUUGUUUUUACAGUCGAAAGCAUUUCACAGAAGAAGAGGCUGAAAAGUGGUGGGCCGAAAAUGGAACCAAAAUAUUGGAGCGGCACAAUAUAGUUGCUUUAUAGAAUAUGCAAGAGAAUCUGUUCCCCGGAGAAAAGCUUAUCCUUCUUCUGUGCACUAUCGAAGCAGUAAAUUCUUUUCCCCUCUUCCCUCUUCCAAAAUUAACAAGGAUCUUCUCCAAAAUUGACAGGUAGGAUACAAAAUUAUGGGAAAAAAAAAACCACAGCAGGAGGAAACUUGUAACUUUCCAGAAAAAUGGUUCUACAACCUCCCUCCCCUCAGCCAAAGAAAAAAAAAAUGGAAAAUAGCAGAAUUUUUUUUUCUUUACUGAACUUACACUGACAAGUGUGGUGCAAAUUCAGCUGUUUUAUUUUUGGUAUAACUGCGUGUAUGUUUACUUGCAGCUGAGGAUUCUUUUCAGUUUCUUUUUGCCUAUUGUAUAGCUACUUCUCUUGCAACCUAGUGAUCUCUUGCCAACCUAGUGAUCUCUUGCUGUGCAUUUUGACAAUUUGCUCACUCCAUUUAGAGCAUAGCGAGGCACUGCACUUUACAUCCUUGGUUGUAUGAGCGUUUAAUGUUGGUCCCUUUACCAUUCUGAUACUCAAUAACUUUCCAAAGGUACAGACGGGGAUAGUAUUUAAAUUUGACUAGGUAUCCUCAGUAAAAUGAGGAUUUGUACAUUUGGUAGUUAUUCAUUUUUUUAAGCCCCGUAUAGUCUGUUGGUUUCAUUUUUCAUUCUUCGGACUCGGACACCAUUUUUUGCCGUAAAUUUGGAUCAUCAUUGGUCCUUUGAUAGACUUCAUUAGUAACGCCAAUUUCUGAUUAUCAUCUCCUAAAAUCUUGCAGAGGUUGUUAUUGGCAAAUGUGGGAAAAAUGGUGACUACCCUCAAGUGCAUCUUCAUGGGAGUAAGUAGCAAAAGUACCAUCUUUUUCUUCCUCAAGUUUCUUGCCUACCCAGAGCUCCAUGGCCUAUCACGAGUCUUUUUCCCUUCACUAUAUCCUGCUGUUGAAAUUGGAAGUGGAAAGUUCCAUGGUUCGUUACAUUGUUCUUAAACCUUUUAAGACUUCAGGCUCUGAUCCGAAUUCUCCGAUUUAGUUGAAGCAUUGAGGGACGGACAAGAUAAAACAACGACUUCACAUACAGUCAUAUAACAGAGAAACGGGUGCAUUAAUUUUCUUGAACUUUAAUAAUUAAUGACUCAAUUAAAGUUAGUAAGAGUUAUGCAUACGGCUAACUAUUGGGAAUAAGAAUGAUGUAGUGAGUGAGGGAGGUGGCUGCAAUCAAUGCAUAAGGAAAAUAGCCACUUUACUGAAAUCAAAGCUUGCUGUGGGUCAAUCCAUUUUUGGUUGGACUGUGCUGGCGGUAGUAGUUUUGUUAAUUCAAUCCAGCUCAUAUCAUCAUAGGCAACAGCCUUAUAUUUUAACUUCCUAUAAGUUUUAUGACAUUAUUAAUUUGAAUCUUUUUUCCCCACCAACCUCCAUUCAUUUUAUAAGAUGGUGCUUUUUUAAAUACAAAUUACAGAUAACAAGAAUUAAAGUAGUUGUCCUUGGAGUAAUGUCUAACCUCUUAUUUUUCUCUUUAAAUCUUUGAUACAUGCAUUAUUAGGAAGUGAAAGUGAGAGUAUUCCCAUUUCAUAAUAGACAUUUAGAUGACAUGAACAUAAUAAU
This 1895-nucleotide long non-coding RNA is filed under the name Phaseolus vulgaris (common bean). RNAcentral describes it as "long non-coding RNA (PVUL_LNC003855)". The record is from RNAcentral. Lineage: Eukaryota; Viridiplantae; Streptophyta; Magnoliopsida; Fabales; Fabaceae.